Molecule: long non-coding RNA, 514 nt
Filed under: Ananas comosus (pineapple)
Lineage: Eukaryota; Viridiplantae; Streptophyta; Magnoliopsida; Poales; Bromeliaceae
Description: long non-coding RNA (ACOM_LNC025125)
Source: RNAcentral
AACACACCAUUUUCACCAAAAUGCUUUUUACUAAUUUUUUUUUAUGGAUUAAAUGCAUACAACUCUUUAUAAACAUAUCGAAUAAUAAAUAUAUUCUCAUAAAGUUUAAUUUUUUAUUUUUAUUCAUGUAAAAAUAUAGUAACAUUCAUAUUUGCCCAUUUGAUUUGUUAGUGCUACAACACUUUAUUUUUUACCCAAUAAUAUAAGAUGAGUAAAAAUAUGAAUUUAGCUCAUUCAUUAACUAAAAUUAAAUAUUUUACUCACGUUUAGCUAUUUUUUUUAACGAUCCUGACAGUAGAGAUAUAUUUGAAAAUAAUAUAUUUUUUGCAGAGGUAAAAAUAAAAAAUUAAAGUUUAUAGGAAUAUACGUGGUAUUCAAUAUAUUUAUAAGGAGCUUUAUGCAAUUAAUCCUAUUUUUAAACCCGAAAUUAGAUUAACAAAUCACAAAUCGUACUAAAUUACUACUACAUAAUAAUAAUACUAACUAACAAUAAAUAAUAAUAAUUUCUAAAAAU